GUGCAGAUACACAUGGAAGCAGAAUGUUG
RNAcentral lists this non-coding RNA (29 nucleotides) under Cricetulus griseus (Chinese hamster). The record is from RNAcentral. Lineage: Eukaryota; Metazoa; Chordata; Mammalia; Rodentia; Cricetidae.